Molecule: non-coding RNA, 68 nt
Organism: Podarcis lilfordi (Lilford's wall lizard)
Lineage: Eukaryota; Metazoa; Chordata; Lepidosauria; Squamata; Lacertidae
Source: the annotation of a GenBank genome assembly
CCAUAGCUCAGUGGUAGAGCAUGUGCUCUCUAUGCAGGAGGUGCAAGGUUCAAUCCAUGGCAUCUGGA